GGAUCAAUAUGUUGGUCGUGCCUUGGUACGUACUAGUUUAUUGGUUUCUUCCUUCUGACGAACCAUGAUGUCAUUAAUUUGGUGUCUUGGGGAAUCAGGACUGUUACUUUGAAAAAAUUAGAGUGUUUAAAGCAGGCUCACGCUUGAAUACAUUAGCAUGGAAUAAUGAAAUAGGACGUUUGAUUCUAUUUUGUUGGCUUUCGGAGUCGAGGUA
This 214-nucleotide ribosomal RNA is filed under the name Campeiostachys nutans. RNAcentral describes it as "Elymus nutans partial small subunit ribosomal RNA". The stretch from base 37 to 214 matches the Rfam family "Eukaryotic small subunit ribosomal RNA", at positions 685 to 864 of the family's 1831-position model. Lineage: Eukaryota; Viridiplantae; Streptophyta; Magnoliopsida; Poales; Poaceae. The record is from RNAcentral.